Molecule: ribosomal RNA, 1419 nt
Filed under: uncultured bacterium
Lineage: Bacteria
Description: 16S ribosomal RNA
Rfam family: Bacterial small subunit ribosomal RNA
Source: RNAcentral
AGAGUUUGAUCAUGGCUCAGAACGAACGCUGGCGGCAGGCCUAACACAUGCAAGUCGAGCGCUACCUUCGGGUGGAGCGGCGGACGGGUUAGUAACGCGUGGGAAUAUACCCAGUUCUAAGGAAUAGCCACUGGAAACGGUGAGUAAUACCUUAUACGCCCUUCGGGGGAAAGAUUUAUCGGAAUUGGAUUAGCCCGCGUUAGAUUAGAUAGUUGGUGGGGUAAUGGCCUACCAAGUCUACGAUCUAUAGCUGGUUUGAGAGGAUGAUCAGCAACACUGGGACUGAGACACGGCCCAGACUCCUACGGGAGGCAGCAGUGGGGAAUCUUAGACAAUGGGCGAAAGCCUGAUCUAGCCAUGCCGCGUGAGUGAUGAAGGCCCUAGGGUSGUAAAGCUCUUUCAACUGUGAAGAUAAUGACGGUAGCAGUAGAAGAAACCCCGGCUAACUCCGUGCCAGCAGCCGCGGUAAUACGGAGGGGGUUAGCGUUGUUCGGAAUUACUGGGCGUAAAGCGUACGUAGGCGGAUUAAUAAGUUAGAGGUGAAAUCCCAGGGCUCAACCCUGGAACUGCCUUUAAAACUGUUAGUCUUGAGAUCGAGAGAGGUGAGUGGAAUUCCAAGUGUAGAGGUGAAAUUCGUAGAUAUUUGGAGGAACACCAGUGGCGAAGGCGGCUCACUGGCUCGAUACUGACGCUGAGGUACGAAAGGGUGGGGAGCAAACAGGAUUAGAUACCCUGGUAGUCCACACCGUAAACGAUGAAUGCCAGACGUCAGCAAGCAUGCUUGUUGGUGUCACACCUAACGGAUUAAGCAUUCCGCCUGGGGAGUACGGUCGCAAGAUUAAAACUCAAAGGAAUUGACGGGGGCCCGCACAAGCGGUGGAGCAUGUGGUUUAAUUCGACGCAACGCGCAGAACCUUACCAACCCUUGACAUACUUGUCGCGGAUUCCAGAGAUGGAUUCCUUCAGUUCGGCUGGACAAUGUACAGGUGCUGCAUGGCUGUCGUCAGCUCGUGUCGUGAGAUGUUCGGUUAAGUCCGGCAACGAGCGCAACCCACGUCCUUAGUUACCAGCAUUUAGUUGGGUACCCUAAGGAGACUGCCGGUGAUAAGCCGGAGGAAGGUGUGGACGACGUCAAGUCAUCAUGGCCCUUACGGGUUGGGCUACACACGUGCUACAAUGGCAUCUACAGUGAGUUAAUCUCCAAAAGAUGUCUCAGUUCGGAUUGGGGUCUGCAACUCGACCCCAUGAAGUUGGGAUCGCUAGUAAUCGCGGAACAGCAUGCCGCGGUGAAUACGUUCCCGGGCCUUGUACACACCGCCCGUCACAGCCAUGGGAGUGGGUUGCUCCAGAAGUGGUUAGUCUAACCUUCGGGAGGACGAUCACCACGGAGUGAUUCAUGAGCUGGGGUGAAGUCGUAAC